This 72-nucleotide transfer RNA is filed under the name Myuchelys latisternum (Northern Australian snapping turtle). Its description in RNAcentral is "tRNA-Trp". Lineage: Eukaryota; Metazoa; Chordata; Testudines; Chelidae. The record is from RNAcentral.
AGGAACUUAGGAUAGAUAAUAAACCAGGGGCCUUCAAAGCCCCAAACAAGAGAUACCCCCUCUUAGUUUCUG